CAUUCCUUAGCAUCAGGUGGUCUAUUUUAUCUAAUUAUUUCAUUGACAGUCUGAUUUGCGUCAUUAUUGCUGUUUAUAUUUCUCGACAAAUUAGUCUUGAAGAUAGCAUUUGCAUAGUAUUCCUUGCUUUUGUUUAUUACUUUUAUUUGCUUUAUUUGAAAGCAAAAUCCUUGCUACCAAAUGCUCCAAAAGUUUUACAAUAAUAAUAAUAGUAAUAAUAAAGGGUUUCAUUGUACAUGUUGCUCAGUCUUGUCAUUUUUUCUUGGAUUACAACAUAAGCAAUACCUCAAGGAUUCUUAGAUUUAUUUCUAAGCUCAAACCCAGUUCAUACUGUUCAGGCUUCUAGGUCUUCGGCCCAAGCUCGGUGCUGCGGUCUUUUAUUGAGUCAAGGGGCCGCCAUUUGGAGAAGUCUUCUGGUCUUUAAAUAGACUCCUCUAUUUUGGAUUUUGAGAGAAAAAAAUUGAAGUACAGCAGGAAGAUAUAUAAACAUAGAGGAGCCAUCUAGUGUUUUUUGGCUGUUAGUGACAAGAUUUGAUCUGGCUAGAAUUUGAUUACAAACUUAUGUGACACCAAACAGUUCAUGGUAAUGACUUUAGACUUCAUUUUGUAAGUUUGAUCAAAAUGACGUUUUGGAUUCUAACCAAAACCUAGC
This 652-nucleotide long non-coding RNA is filed under the name Phoenix dactylifera (date palm). RNAcentral describes it as "long non-coding RNA (PDAC_LNC003901)". Lineage: Eukaryota; Viridiplantae; Streptophyta; Magnoliopsida; Arecales; Arecaceae. The record is from RNAcentral.